This 417-nucleotide long non-coding RNA is filed under the name Arabidopsis lyrata. RNAcentral describes it as "long non-coding RNA (ALYR_LNC000885)". Lineage: Eukaryota; Viridiplantae; Streptophyta; Magnoliopsida; Brassicales; Brassicaceae. The record is from RNAcentral.
CUAGUAUUUAUAUAUAUAGAAAGCAUAUACAUUAGGAUUAAUCCCUGUUCAAAAAGUCGGGCGCCUAGCCGCCUAGGCAGCCGCCUAGUCGGUGAUCGGCAGUCAACCGCCGCGAUUUUAAUUUACCGAUUUUGCGGCCGUUUAAUAAUUAAACGUUGAAAAUCGGUUAAAAGUCACCGAUUUAUUAUAAAAUUUUAUACUGAAUUUUGACCAAAACUCAAAAAUUGAUUGGGCCUACAUAAGCCCACACGAGCUAUACUAUGACAAAUAGAAACAAUUAGUAGGGUCAUUUAUAAGAAGUCGAUUCCAUGCUUCCUUCCUACUAUUACCGAUGUGGGACUUUGUGAUUUUGAGUUUUGUAGAGAUACUACUUUCACAUAACGUGGCAACUGGCAAGUGAUAUCAAUUCAGUAGUCA